ACCACGUUCCUCCUGCUCUCCGGCAAGUCCGCCCAGGACCAGCAGCUCCUCGCCUCCGCUGCCGGCGAGCUCUCUCUGGCGGAGGAGGGCGGGGGCGAGCUCGCCGUCUCCCUCGCGCUCGACGCCAGCGGGGACGCGGGCUACGAUGUGGCCGCCUACAUGGGCGCGCUCCAGGCGCGGCGCUUCGGGAGGUGGAUGCGUUGGUCGCCGCGGAUGGCAUCCACGCACGACCUCGUGAUACAGAACUUUGCCAAACUUCCGGUGGGCGUCGUGUGCGCCACAUACAUGCAGUUCAAAGGCAGAGAGUCGGCAGCGACUUGAUUUAUAUUUCCGCUACUUGUCAAUAUGAUGGCCCGUUGUAAAUAAAUGAGGCAUGGCCAUCACUUAUACUUGGGAACUACUUUUCAGUGAUAGCUGUAUUGACUAAGGGAACUACGGCGGGCUUAUACCUACUGAACUAUAUUCGAAACUAUCAGAGUGUAUAGCAGAUUAGAGGAGAUUACAGUAGCCUUAAAGAUUGUUGGCCAUUAACGGUUAUCCAUGGCACUAAAACUACUUGAUCUCAAUACAUUCACCUCACAACACUUGUUGGCGAAAACAUGUGCUAUAGCACCAAAGUAGUUGAGGUCAAAUUAAUGAGGUGAUAGCUAAACUCCUUAAACUGGAUAUAUUUGUGUUUUGUUUGCUUCAAGUAUAUAGACAUAUAUUCCUUGAUCAAAACUCAUUGACACUGCUACCACUAAUUUGCUUCAGGUCAUCGACUUGAAGAUUGAUAAAUAUGGUUCUGUUAUUAUGCAGGAGUUGUGUGAUCUGAGGAGAAACUAUUCUCUUGCAAAUCGGAUAAUUGUUGUAGGAAUUAAAAGGCACACGAUUGUACUAUUGUUCUGGGAUUUCGUUUCUUACGUUCCUCGACCCUAAUGUCUACAUGAGGUGUGAGUUCAACGGAUACAGGAAAUCACAUUAGUAAUAGAAUGAUGCCGCACCAAAGAAAAUGCUCUCAGCCUUGGACGAUCCAUUCACUCGAUUCUUGAAACCAUUACCUUUCUAAAGCAAGACUAGCUAGCACCCAAGGUGCCCUGGCAGGUGUACGUUUAUCCAUUGGCUACCCGUUGGAGCAUCACUUGCGGUGCUCUUUGUAAUGUCACUUGGUGUCAUCAAGGAAACUCAAUAGAUGGCUAUUUCAGUGGAGAUUAUACCAGAGAUGUUGUUUUGAAAGUAUAUGCCAGGAGAGAAAGAUAUACUUGAAACCCGAUGAGGUCAAUGAUGUGGAGAUUUUACCAGAGAUGUUGUUUUCAAGUAAGAUUUUGUGUGAGAUUAUACCGAUCGCACCAGCACGCCACAUUGUUGCAACACGGCAAAGGCAGCGAGGUAAUUUUUCUUUUCGCACCGAUGUAAUUUUCCUUUUCUUUUAGCCCACUCCCAGGUCUCUUCCGUUCAUAUUCUAAUCACGCAUGGUGAGCGGCGGUUUCGACAGCGACUGGCUGGCUGCUGCUGGCUUAUACAUGUGGAAGGCAGUUGUUCACGGCAGACCAGUGAGCGGCGGCGGGUGGGCGCGACCACAUGGUGGUUGGAAGGUAGGCUUCGCGGCGUUCAGCCUCGGCCACCAUCGUACCACGAUCUCGGCCCACCCGGAAAGUUGGAUGAAGAGGUGGUGGACGACUGAUCCCGGAGAGGAGAACAAGCCUCCGAGCACGUGCUCGUCAACUCCAUGCCGGCCGCUCCAAGCGCCCCUGCUUCGUGUCUUCAAGGCAGGCGCCGAGAUAGCCUUUGCAGCGAGCUGUGGUGUGUGGACUCUGCGGCGAGAUGGGAUCCAGAAUCCUCUUCCGUGAUAGCACAUCCAAGUAAGGAAGGAGAUUGAGGUUGGCACCUCCUGAAGGCAUGGAUGCUCUUCACCGAGAGAGGGAAGGGCAUCUUUUUCUUGGGUUGCAGUUUCCACCUUGUUGUUGGGCGAGCUGAUUCGUUGUUUGUCAGAGCUCUUGUGGAUAAUCAGACAUGGGGUGCAUGGCAAAAUUAGGACAGACUGAAGGCAGCAAAUUCCGCGUUGGUCGUGCACUUUGAGGAGAAGACAUUGUCUUUGUAUAAGUGCCCCUACAAUCAUCUCUUUACAGCAGAGAUAAGGCCUUCAGAUAGAUAUGGCCGCAUAAAUCGCACCGAUGGAUCCAGUCCUUCGCUAGGUACAACCUACCCUGCACCAGCCUCAAGCACGUUAUUCAGUCAACGCAUAUUCUGUCUUUUGGCAUGUGUAUGCUUGCUGUUGUGCUCAUGUUGUAAUCGUGACCUGUAAUCAGUCCAUGAUCCUUGUGUGAUCAGAAGUUGGGCAUAACUGAAUUGUUACUGAGAAGAUGUGAAUAUUAACUUAGGGAUCGGAGCUGAAGCUCUAGCCGAUAGCACAGAUACGAAGUAUGUGCUCUGUCUUAUGUUUGCAAGUAUAUUGAUGUAACUUCACAUCUUGAAUGGAGUCACUCCUAUGUGUACUGCCGCUGUAAUUACACAACAUGAAUUUUCCGUUUUUGUGAUCA
Aegilops tauschii subsp. strangulata is the source of this 2519-nucleotide non-coding RNA. Lineage: Eukaryota; Viridiplantae; Streptophyta; Magnoliopsida; Poales; Poaceae. The record is from RefSeq and is a predicted model, not a curated record.